AUGAAAACUCGAGCAAGAAGAUGGUCGAUGGGAGCGAUUGGUCACCGACUGUUCGGCGAGGCUUGACUUAAUUCGCCGAUUCACCCUAAAAAGCUAACUUUGGAAAGAGUAUAAAUUGAUUUUUUUGAAAAGAGAGAAGGCAUUCAACAUUGUAGAAACAAAAACUUAGAAUGCAAACACUCUUAUUGUUAGUUUUUUAGACUAUUUUCAAGGAC
Molecule: long non-coding RNA, 215 nt
Filed under: Solanum tuberosum (potato)
Lineage: Eukaryota; Viridiplantae; Streptophyta; Magnoliopsida; Solanales; Solanaceae
Description: long non-coding RNA (STUB_LNC010762)
Source: RNAcentral